Molecule: ribosomal RNA, 652 nt
Filed under: Glomeromycotina sp. AB-2014
Lineage: Eukaryota; Fungi; Glomeromycota
Description: SSU rRNA
Rfam family: Eukaryotic small subunit ribosomal RNA
Source: RNAcentral
GUAACGGGGAAUUAGGGUUCGAUUCCGGAGAGGGAGCCUGAGAAACGGCUACCACAUCCAAGGAUGGCAGCAGGCGCGCAAAUUACCCCAAUCCCGAUACGGGGAGGUAGUGACAAUAAAUAACAAUACAGGGCUUUAUAGUCUUGUAAUUGGAAUGAGUACAAUUUAAAUCUCUUAACGAGGAACAAUUGGAGGGCAAGUCUGGUGCCAGCAGCCGCGGUAAUUCCAGCUCCAAUAGCGUAUAUUAAAGUUGUUGCAGUUAAAAAGCUCGUAGUUGAAUUUCGGGGUUAGCAGGUCGGUCGUGCCAUCGGUAUGAACUGGCCUCGCUGAUCCCUCCCUCUUGACGAACUGUGAUGCCAUUAAUUUGGUGUCGCAGGGAAUCAGGACUGUUACUUUGAAAAAAUUAGAGUGUUUAAAGCAGGCUCACGCUUGAAUACAUUAGCAUGGAAUAAUGAAAUAGGACGUUUGAUCCUAUUUUGUUGGUUUCUAGGAUUGACGUAAUGAUUAAUAGGGAUAGUUGGGGGCAUUAGUAUUCAAUUGUCAGAGGUGAAAUUCUUGGAUUUAUUGAAGACUAACUACUGCGAAAGCAUUUGCCAAGGAUGUUUUCAUUAAUCAAGAACGAAAGUUAGGGGAUCGAAGACGAUCAGAUACC